UACGGGGGAUGCGAGCGUUAUCCGGAUUUAUUGGGUUUAAAGGGUGCGCAGGCGGGAGAUUAAGUCGGCGGUGAAAUUUUGCAGCUCAACUGUAAAAGUGCCUUCGAAACUGGUUUCCUUGAGUGUAUAUGAAGUAGGCGGAAUUUGUAGUGUAGCGGUGAAAUGCAUAGAUAUUACAAGGAACUCCGAUUGCGAAGGCAGCUUACUAAAUUACAACUGACGCUUAGGCACGAAGGCGUGGGUAUCAAACAGGAUUAGAUACCCCGGUAGUCCCUGAG
RNAcentral lists this ribosomal RNA (278 nucleotides) under uncultured prokaryote. RNAcentral's name for it is "partial 16S ribosomal RNA". It matches the Rfam family "Bacterial small subunit ribosomal RNA", at positions 524 to 801 of the family's 1533-position model. The record is from RNAcentral.